Molecule: long non-coding RNA, 317 nt
Filed under: Capsicum annuum
Lineage: Eukaryota; Viridiplantae; Streptophyta; Magnoliopsida; Solanales; Solanaceae
Description: long non-coding RNA (CANN_LNC017795)
Source: RNAcentral
UCAACAUUAGUUAGUCAAACCAACUUAUCAUGAGAAGAAGCAAAAUUAAAAGUCCAUGAAGAAUUUUCUAGUUCUUCAAUAUACUAUACUCACUAUGCACAUCUUUGGGAUGUCAUAAUCGUUCAUAGCAACUUAUGAACCUUUAUUCUAACAAACUUCAAGUUUACCAUAACAUGUACCUUUUACUUUAAUAAAUUUCAGAUUUACUAUUACAUGAUUAAUUUCAGAUUUACUAUUUUAGAAGUAGAUUUCAAAAUAACUCUUCUCAGUUAUUCUACCUCUUUCGGAGUUGAGUUGUGAUAUCAUCACAAUCAAGU